Long non-coding RNA from Perca flavescens (yellow perch), 1129 nucleotides. RefSeq lists it as uncharacterized. NCBI's taxonomy places the organism in Eukaryota, Metazoa, Chordata, Actinopteri, Perciformes, Percidae. The transcript is spliced from 8 exons. The record is from RefSeq and is a predicted model, not a curated record.
AAAUCAAGUGUCCCACUGAUAGUCUUGGAAUGCCGGCCACCCCAAGAGGUCAUGGUGGGAGACUAAAGGUCGAACCCACGACCGACUGUGUAGACAGAAACCUCAAAAACACCAAAGGAAAGCACCCCAAAGUGGUGCUUGUUCCCAUAGGAUUCCCCAACCUGGCACAGACGUGCUACAUGAACUCCACACUGCAGGGCCUCCUGACGAUUAGAGGUUUCAUUCAGGGCAUCUACAACCAGGAGAGUGUGUGGAGUUCUCUCCCCAUGUACAACACCUCACACACACACACACACAGACGCUCUUACUCUUUGGUUUCUCCUCCCACUUUGCAGGUCAGCAUACUAACGAAAACUAAAACAUAUAUUUUUUUUUCCUCUUUGUUUAUGCUCUUUCCAGAGGGUUUGUAAAAGUUGGCCUCUCCAGAUUCACUGCCAGCAAGGCAGUGAAAAAGCAGGCACUGGCUGCCUUCAAAAGGACUGUCGCUGAGUUCAACUCCGAAUUUGAGGACGACAGACAGAAAGACGCCCAUGUUCCUCAGCUGUGUGCUAAAUCAGCUGAGGUGUGUCUCUGCCAACAUGCAGGAAGAAGCAUCUAACAGGGUAUUCAGUUACACUUGCCCUGUUAAUGCUAACAUCACCUUCCAGAUGUUGAGCACCAGGACCUGCAAUGGAUGUGGCAUGCAAUCUACAAGGGAGGAGGACUUCAUUAAUUUGUCACUGGACCUGGUGCCUGGUGGCACAGUGCGGCAGUGUCUGCAGGGCUACUUCAAAGAGAACCAGCUGGACUAUCGGUGCGAGUGUGGUGUUACGACGUCGUCGCAGCAGGGGUCAUUUUUGACGCUGCCAAACGCGCUGAUAAUCUAGCUGAAGAGGUUUAAUUACACCAAAUGCCUAAAACUGGAGAAGGUCAACAGCCCCAUCACUGUAUCAAGUCAGCUGGUGCUGAACGUUGAGUCCAGCACCAGUGAGUCCAGCGCCAGUGAACAGACACCGUCUUGCUACUCCCUAAUGAGCAUUGUCAGCCAUUUGGGUUCCUCAGCUUACGGUGGCCAUUACAUCUGUGAUGGAGCCCACAGGGACGAGAAACCGCAGGACAUGUCUGACAACUGCUGUUCUACGUGAAACAU